Molecule: ribosomal RNA, 263 nt
Filed under: uncultured bacterium
Lineage: Bacteria
Description: partial 16S ribosomal RNA
Rfam family: Bacterial small subunit ribosomal RNA
Source: RNAcentral
GACGUAGGGCGCAAGCGUUGUCCGGAUUUAUUGGGCGUAAAGAGCUCGUAGGCGGCUUGUUGCGUCGACUGUGAAAACCCACGGCUCAACCGUGUGGUCUGCAGUCGAUACGGGCAGGCUAGAGUUCGGUAGGGGGAGACUGGAAUUCCUGGAUGUAGCGGUGAAAUGACGCAGAUAUCAGGAGGAACACCGGUGGCGGAAGGCGGGUCUCCUGGGCCGAUACUGACGGCUGGAGGAGCGGAAAGCGUGGGGGAGCGAACAGG